Molecule: ribosomal RNA, 227 nt
Filed under: uncultured bacterium
Lineage: Bacteria
Description: partial 16S ribosomal RNA
Rfam family: Bacterial small subunit ribosomal RNA
Source: RNAcentral
AAGUCGGUUGUGAAAGCCUUCCGCUUAACGGAAGAAUGGCGGCCGAAACUGCAUGGCUUGAGUGCGGUAGGGGAGAGUGGAACUUCUGGUGGAGCGGUGAAAUGCGUAGAUAUCAGAAGGAACGCCGGCGGCGAAAGCGACUCUCUGGACCGUAACUGACGCUGAGUGUGCGAAAGCUAGGGGAGCAAACGGGAUUAGAUACCCCGGUAGUCCUAGCCGUAAACGAU